This 253-nucleotide ribosomal RNA is filed under the name uncultured bacterium. RNAcentral describes it as "partial 16S ribosomal RNA". It matches the Rfam family "Bacterial small subunit ribosomal RNA", at positions 524 to 776 of the family's 1533-position model. The record is from RNAcentral.
UACGUAGGGGGCAAGCGUUGUCCGGAUUUAUUGGGCGUAAAGAGCGUGUGGGCGGCCAGAUAGGUCCGUUGUGAAAACUCGAGGCUCAACCUCGAGACGCCGAUGGAAACCAUUUGGCUAGAGUCCGGAAGAGGAGAGUGGAAUUCCUGGUGUAGCGGUGAAAUGCGCAGAUAUCAGGAAGAACACCCGUGGCUAAGGCGGCUCUCUAGUACGGUACUGACGCUGAGACGCGAAAGCGUGGGGAGCGAACAGG